This 180-nucleotide ribosomal RNA is filed under the name uncultured Glomeromycotina. RNAcentral's name for it is "partial small subunit ribosomal RNA". The stretch from base 88 to 180 matches the Rfam family "Eukaryotic small subunit ribosomal RNA", at positions 735 to 830 of the family's 1831-position model. The record is from RNAcentral. Lineage: Eukaryota; Fungi; Glomeromycota.
GGCCUGGCUGGCCGGUCCGCCUCACCGCGUGUACUGGUCUGGCCGGGCCUUUCCUUCUGGAGAACCUCAUGCCCUUCAUUGGGUGUGUUGGGGAACCAGGACUUUUACUUUGAAAAAAUUAGAGUGUUCAAAGCAGGCCUUUGCUCGAAUACGUUAGCAUGGAAUAAUAGAAUAGGACGU